Molecule: ribosomal RNA, 574 nt
Filed under: uncultured rumen bacterium
Lineage: Bacteria
Description: bacterial SSU rRNA
Rfam family: Bacterial small subunit ribosomal RNA
Source: RNAcentral
GGCAGCAGCUAAGAAUAUUCCGCAAUGGACGAAAGUCUGACGGAGCGACGCCGCGUGAACGAAGAAGGCCGGAAGGUUGUAAAGUUCUUUUGGACGUGAGGAAUAAGCGCCUCAGGGAAUGGGGGCGCGGUGACUGUAGCGUCUGAAUAAGCAACGGCUAAUUACGUGCCAGCAGCCGCGGUAACACGUAAGUUGCGAGCGUUGUUCGGAAUUAUUGGGCGUAAAGGGCAUGCAGGCGGUUGCGUAAGCCUGAUGUGAAAUGCCGGGGCUCAACCCCGGAACUGCAUUGGGAACUACGCGGCUAGAGUUGCUGAGGGGCAGCCGGAAUUCCAGGUGUAGGGGUGAAAUCUGUAGAUAUCUGGAAGAACACCAAUGGCGAAGGCAGGCUGCCAGCAGAUAACUGACGCUGAGGUGCGAAGGUGCGGGGAGCGAACAGGAUUAGAUACCCUGGUAGUCCGCACAGUAAACGAUGUACACUAGGUGUCUGGCCAUGAGGCUGGGUGCCAAAGCGAACGUGAUAAGUGUACCGCCUGGGGAGUAUGCCCGCAAGGGUGAAACUCAAAGGAAUUGACGG